AGUUCAGUUGCUAGAGCGCUCCACCUGUAAUGGAGAGGUCCCGGGUUCGAUACCCGG
This 57-nucleotide transfer RNA is filed under the name Ixodes scapularis (black-legged tick). It matches the Rfam family "tRNA", at positions 9 to 63 of the family's 71-position model. Rfam says of the family: Transfer RNA (tRNA) molecules are approximately 80 nucleotides in length. Their secondary structure includes four short double-helical elements and three loops (D, anti-codon, and T loops). Further hydrogen bonds mediate the characteristic L-shaped molecular structure. tRNAs have two regions of fundamental functional importance: the anti-codon, which is responsible for specific mRNA codon recognition, and the 3' end, to which the tRNAs corresponding amino acid is attached (by aminoacyl-tRNA synthetases). tRNAs cope with the degeneracy of the genetic code in two manners: having more than one tRNA (with a specific anti-codon) for a particular amino acid; and 'wobble' base-pairing, i.e. permitting non-standard base-pairing at the 3rd anti-codon position. The record is from Rfam by way of RNAcentral. Lineage: Eukaryota; Metazoa; Arthropoda; Arachnida; Ixodida; Ixodidae.